This 957-nucleotide ribosomal RNA is filed under the name Halomonas alimentaria. RNAcentral's name for it is "bacterial SSU rRNA". It matches the Rfam family "Bacterial small subunit ribosomal RNA", at positions 54 to 1003 of the family's 1533-position model. The record is from RNAcentral. Lineage: Bacteria; Pseudomonadati; Pseudomonadota; Gammaproteobacteria; Oceanospirillales; Halomonadaceae.
CAUGCAGUCGAGCGGAACGAUGGAAGCUUGCUUCCAGGCGUCGAGCGGCGGACGGGUGAGUAAUGCAUAGGAAUCUGCCCGGUAGUGGGGGAUAACCUGGGGAAACCCAGGCUAAUACCGCAUACGUCCUACGGGAGAAAGCAGGGGAUCUUCGGACCUUGCGCUAUCGGAUGAGCCUAUGUCGGAUUAGCUAGUUGGUGAGGUAAUGGCUCACCAAGGCCGCGAUCCGUAGCUGGUCUGAGAGGAUGAUCAGCCACAUCGGGACUGAGACACGGCCCGAACUCCUACGGGAGGCAGCAGUGGGGAAUAUUGGACAAUGGGCGAAAGCCUGAUCCAGCCAUGCCGCGUGUGUGAAGAAGGCUUUCGGGUUGUAAAGCACUUUCAGUGGGGAAGAAAUCCUCGGGGCCAAUACCCUCGAGGGAGGACAUCACCCACAGAAGAAGCACCGGCUAACUCCGUGCCAGCAGCCGCGGUAAUACGGAGGGUGCGAGCGUUAAUCGGAAUUACUGGGCGUAAAGCGCGCGUAGGCGGCGUGAUAAGCCGGUUGUGAAAGCCCCGGGCUCAACCUGGGAACGGCAUCCGGAACUGUCAGGCUAGAGUGCAGGAGAGGAAGGUAGAAUUCCCGGUGUAGCGGUGAAAUGCGUAGAGAUCGGGAGGAAUACCAGUGGCGAAGGCGGCCUUCUGGACUGACACUGACGCUGAGGUGCGAAAGCGUGGGUAGCAAACAGGAUUAGAUACCCUGGUAGUCCACGCCGUAAACGAUGUCGACUAGCCGUUGGGGUCCUUGUGACCUUUGUGGCGCAGUUAACGCGAUAAGUCGACCGCCUGGGGAGUACGGCCGCAAGGUUAAAACUCAAAUGAAUUGACGGGGGCCCGCACAAGCGGUGGAGCAUGUGGUUUAAUUCGAUGCAACGCGAAGAAUCCUUACCUACUCUUGACAUCGUGCGAACUUUCCAG